GAGACAGCAGUCGCCGCGGGAAUACGUAGGUGGCAAGCGUUGUCCGGAAUUAUUGGGCGUAAAGCGCGCGCAGGCGGAUAGGUCAGUCUGUCUUAAAAGUUCGGGGCUUAACCCCGUGAUGGGAUAGAAACUGCCAAUCUAGAGUAUCGGAGAGGAAAGUGGAGUUCCUAGUGUAGCGGUGAAAUGCGUAGAUAUUAGGAAGAACACCAGUGGCGAAGGCGACUUUCUGGACGAAAACUGACGCUGAGGCACGAAAGCCAGGGGAGCGAACGGGAUUAGAUACCCCCGUAGUCCCUGUCUCUUAUACA
This 308-nucleotide ribosomal RNA is filed under the name uncultured bacterium. Its description in RNAcentral is "partial 16S ribosomal RNA". It matches the Rfam family "Bacterial small subunit ribosomal RNA", at positions 505 to 809 of the family's 1533-position model. The record is from RNAcentral.